AUUGAACGCUGGCGGCAGGCCUAACACAUGCAAGUCGAACGAGUGGCGGACGGGUGAGUAAUGUCUGGGACACUGCCUGAUGGAGGGGGAUAACUACUGGAAACGGUAGCUACUACCGCAUACCAUCAGAUGUGCCCAGAUGGGAUUAGCUGGUUGGUGGGGUAACGGCUCACCAAGGCGACGAUCCCUAGCUGGUCUGAGAGGAUGACCAGCCACACGGGAACUGAGACACGGACCAGACUCCUACGGGAGGCAGCAGGGGGGAAUAUGGGAAAAUGGGCGCAAGCCUGAUGCAGCCAUGCAGCGGCGAGGAAUAAGGCCUGCGGGUUGUAAAGUACUUUCAGCGUGGAGGCGUUACCCGCAGAAGAAGCACCGGCUAACUCCGUGCCAGCAGCCGCGGUAAUAC
This 406-nucleotide ribosomal RNA is filed under the name uncultured bacterium. RNAcentral's name for it is "partial 16S ribosomal RNA". It matches the Rfam family "Bacterial small subunit ribosomal RNA", at positions 29 to 526 of the family's 1533-position model. The record is from RNAcentral.